ACUUAUGGCCACACCCGUGUGAACGUGCCUGAUCUCGUCCCAUCUCCGAAGCUAAACAUGCUCGGGCUCAGCCAGUACUUGGAUGGGAGACUGCCUAGGAACUCCGGGUGCUGUAAGCU
This 119-nucleotide ribosomal RNA is filed under the name Erpetoichthys calabaricus (reedfish). Lineage: Eukaryota; Metazoa; Chordata; Cladistia; Polypteriformes; Polypteridae. The record is from RNAcentral.